UGGCGGCACUAGCGCGGUGGUCCCACCUGACCCCAUGCCGAACUCAGAAGUGAAACGCCGUAGCGCCGAUGGUAGUGUGGGGUCUCCCCAUGCGAGGAGUAGGGACUGCCAGGCA
RNAcentral lists this ribosomal RNA (115 nucleotides) under Salmonella enterica subsp. enterica. Lineage: Bacteria; Pseudomonadati; Pseudomonadota; Gammaproteobacteria; Enterobacterales; Enterobacteriaceae. The record is from RNAcentral.